RNAcentral lists this long non-coding RNA (720 nucleotides) under Aquilegia coerulea. RNAcentral describes it as "long non-coding RNA (ACOE_LNC001006)". Lineage: Eukaryota; Viridiplantae; Streptophyta; Magnoliopsida; Ranunculales; Ranunculaceae. The record is from RNAcentral.
AGCAUCUACAAUGAUCUUUUAAUUUUUACAAGUUUAUUCAUGGCCAUAUCUAAUGGAUCUUUAUAAUUUUUCUAUAAAUAUGAGUCCAUAAUAGGGGUCUCAACUCUCAAUUUGGUCCGUCGGUACAAGUUUAUUCAUAGUCUUUCCUUAUAAUUUUCUUAUAAAUAUGGGUACAUAACAGGGGUCUCAAUUUGGCCGGUCGGGUCAAUCCAACCCUAAACCCAUUGAGUUGAAGAUUAAAUUGUGUUGGGUUCAAUCGAUCCACUUUGAUUAUUUGGGUGGGUUGGGUUGGGUUGGGUUGGGUAGGUUCAAAUGUUCAAGAAUGGAAUCCACAUUCGCCCAUAAACUCAACAUUGGGCUAACGGGUUAGAUAAUGGGUUGGGUAAACGGGUUGGAUUAGUUUUAGACUAAUGAAUCGGGUUACGUGUUAUCUUACACAAGUGACAAAUUCGUCUUAGUUGAAUCAAACAGGUUUUUAUUUGUUGUCACUUAUCACCUCAAUUAAAUUGGGAUUACAGUAACAAAUUUUAUUUAACAAAUUAAACUAUUUCUUACUUUUACAAAAUAGAAAGCUUUUAUUUAAUAUAAAAAAAUAAAAAUAUGAUUGAUAAUGAUAACAAUAGGUGUGUUACAUAAAUAUAAUAAAAAUAAAAUUAUUAAUUAUCAUUAAUAUAAAAAAUCUAUACUACAAGGUGCUUGAUUCCCGAGGCGCCUGUGAAG